GCGAGAAGGUCACACCCGUUCCCAUCCCGAACACGGUAGUUAAGCUUCUCUGCGCCAAUGGUAGUUGGGGGCUUCCCCCUGCGAGAGUAGGUCGCUGCCGGGC
RNAcentral lists this ribosomal RNA (103 nucleotides) under Listeria monocytogenes. The record is from RNAcentral. Lineage: Bacteria; Bacillati; Bacillota; Bacilli; Caryophanales; Listeriaceae.